Molecule: transfer RNA, 74 nt
Filed under: Candidatus Shikimatogenerans bostrichidophilus
Lineage: Bacteria; Pseudomonadati; Bacteroidota; Flavobacteriia; Flavobacteriales
Description: tRNA-Ile
Rfam family: tRNA
About the family: Transfer RNA (tRNA) molecules are approximately 80 nucleotides in length.
Source: RNAcentral
GGUCUUGUAGCUCAAAAGGUUAGAGCACUACACUGAUAAUGUAGAGGUACGUGGUUCAAUUCCACGCAAGACUA